UCCACGUUGACCGUGGCAGUCUGUCGUGAAAUUACAACACGACACAGGGGUUGCGCUCGUUACCCCACUUAAGGGUACACCUCACGACACGAGCUGACGACAGCCAUGCAGCACCUGUGUUCCGGCCAGCCGAACUGAAGAACGAGGUCUCCCCCGCCCAUACCGGACAUGUCAAGGGCUGGUAAGGUUCUUCGCGUUGCGUCGAAUUAAACCACAUGCUCCACCGCUUGUGCGGGCCCCCGUCAAUUCCUUUGAGUUUUAACCUUGCGACCGUACUCCCCAGGCGGAUUGCUUAUCGCGUUAGCUGCGGCACGAUCGGAUUGGGUACCGAUCACACCAAGCAAUCAUCGUUUAGGGCUAGGACUAC
This 367-nucleotide unclassified non-coding RNA is filed under the name uncultured bacterium. Its description in RNAcentral is "contains 16S-23S intergenic spacer region". The record is from RNAcentral.